This is a non-coding RNA of Vicia faba (fava bean), 204 nucleotides long. The record is from the annotation of a GenBank genome assembly. Lineage: Eukaryota; Viridiplantae; Streptophyta; Magnoliopsida; Fabales; Fabaceae.
AUGUACAAAAGGAAACACGUGAAUCCCAACUCCGAUGUCACAAUACCAGCAUACAUAUGUACAAUAGAAAACCCACUCCGAUGUCACAAUACCAGCAUACAUAUGUACAAUAGAAAACCCAUGAAUCCCGACCCCGAUGUCCCAAUAACAGGGCCUUAUUACAAACCAGACGUAUUAACUAACUUGACAGUUUAUCAUACAUAA